GGGAUUGCCUCAGUAACGGCGAGUGAAGCGGCAAAAGCUCAAAUUUGAAAUCCCCCGGGAAUUGUAAUUUGAAGGUGGUCUCAGUUAGUUCAAACAUUCUUAAGUCCAUUGGAAAAUGGCGCCAUGGAGGGUGAUAGCCCCGUAAAGAACCGUUUGCUCUAUUUUCUUGGACCACCAAAGAGUCGAGUUGUUUGGGAAUGCAGCUCUAAGUGGGUGGUAAAUUCCAUCUAAAGCUAAAUAUUGGCGAGAGACCGAUAGCGAACAAGUACAGUGAUGGAAAGAUGAAAAGCACUUUGAAAAGAGAGUGAAAAAGUACGUGAAAUUGUUGAAAGGGAAGGGCUUGCAAGCAGACACAACCUUUUGGUUGGGCCAGCAUCGGGGCGAGAGGAAGUAAAAAAGGAAAGGAAAUGUAGCUCUCGAGUAUUAUAGACCUUCCCCAUUCCUUCCAUCUCAUCCCGAGGCCUGCGGAUUCAUCCUAGGAUGCUGGCGUAAUGGUUGCAAGUCGC
RNAcentral lists this ribosomal RNA (506 nucleotides) under Metschnikowia bicuspidata. Its description in RNAcentral is "eukaryotic LSU rRNA". It matches the Rfam family "Eukaryotic large subunit ribosomal RNA", at positions 71 to 648 of the family's 3401-position model. The record is from RNAcentral. Lineage: Eukaryota; Fungi; Ascomycota; Pichiomycetes; Serinales; Metschnikowiaceae.